GUGCGUUUAGGGGCGUCGUCAUUUCCGUUCCAACGUUGAGCGAGUGGUUGGAAAACUAUUAUUCUAUAUUGUACGAAUUAUUCGGCAAAUUGAAUUCUCAAAAUUGACAAUCAGCAUUGCUGUCAUUAGGGAAUUGUCAUUAAGUACCUACAGAACAACCAUUAUUUCUUGUUUAUCCUGCACAAUGACGAUCACUAAGACGCUUGAUGAACGUAAAUAGUGCAGGGAUACAGGCGACCCCCUUUAUCUGGUAAAUGACGUCAUAAAGGCG
Molecule: long non-coding RNA, 271 nt
Filed under: Mytilus galloprovincialis (Mediterranean mussel)
Lineage: Eukaryota; Metazoa; Mollusca; Bivalvia; Mytilida; Mytilidae
Source: RNAcentral